GAUGAACGCUGGCGGCGUGCCUAAUACAUGCAAGUCGAGCGAACAGAUAAGGAGCUUGCUCCUUUGAAGUUAGCGGCGGACGGGUGAGUAACACGUGGGUAACCUACCUAUAAGACUGGGAUAACUUCGGGAAACCGGAGCUAAUACCGGAUAACAUUUAGAACCGCAUGGUUCUAAAGUGAAAGAUGGUUUUGCUAUCACUUAUAGAUGGACCUGCGCCGUAUUAGCUAGUUGGUAAGGUAACGGCUUACCAAGGCGACGAUACGUAGCCGACCUGAGAGGGUGAUCGGCCACACUGGAACUGAGACACGGUCCAGACUCCUACGGGAGGCAGCAGUAGGGAAUCUUCCGCAAUGGGCGAAAGCCUGACGGAGCAACGCCGCGUGAGUGAUGAAGGGUUUCGGCUCGUAAAACUCUGUUAUUAGGGAAGAACAAAUGUGUAAGUAACUGUGCACAUCUUGACGGUACCUAAUCAGAAAGCCACGGCUAACUACGUG
RNAcentral lists this ribosomal RNA (497 nucleotides) under uncultured bacterium. Its description in RNAcentral is "partial 16S ribosomal RNA". It matches the Rfam family "Bacterial small subunit ribosomal RNA", at positions 28 to 507 of the family's 1533-position model. The record is from RNAcentral.